UUAACCACUAAUCAUUUAUAAAUGUAAUUUUUUAAAGAGUAUAUGAUAUGCACUAAUUAUAUAUAUUCACUAUAUAAAUAUGACAGAUUUAUUCAUGAAUAUGAAACUAAGUUGUAUGAGUUAUACACUCACUUAUAUAAUUUUUAUAGUUAAUAGAUCUUCCCCUUACUAAGUGAAAGGAGUAUUUGUUUCUCCAUGGGGUGGGAACUCUUUGUACCAUACUGGUACUUUAAUAGAUGGUCUAAUUGAUAUCAACCCAAUUAAUUUACCAGGUCUACCACGUGUUCUAAAUUGGUUAGACAUUAUACCCAUUUGAAUUGCCUUCACUCCUGAGUCUCUGAGUGUCAGGUUCAAGCUGCUGACCGACGAGGUUCCUUAUGCUUGCGAACCAGUUAGAUUCUAUACACAUAUGAAUCUUCCCCAUAUUCGAAUAUCUGAAUGUCAGACUCAAGCUGAUGAUAUAUGAGGUAUGGUCCUCGCUGUAUCAAUCAAGUCCCAUUGAAAUAUUGAAACGUUGUUCAUACAUCUUUGAAUGACCUUUUAUGUGCUGACAAUAUGUUCUGAAAUGAAGAGAUUUUACCCCUGAUGAAGUCUUGGAACAAGACGAAACGCGUUGGGUUAUUUAUCUAUCUAUUAUCUGAUGUUACCUCCGAAUCUACAAUAAGGAGAAGGAGGAAAUCGUAGUGAUAUAUCUACGCUUUUUCCUCAUCACUACAAACUGAUUG
This is a long non-coding RNA of Pseudophryne corroboree (corroboree frog), 725 nucleotides long. RefSeq lists it as uncharacterized. The transcript is spliced from 4 exons. The record is from RefSeq and is a predicted model, not a curated record. NCBI's taxonomy places the organism in Eukaryota, Metazoa, Chordata, Amphibia, Anura, Myobatrachidae.